This 492-nucleotide ribosomal RNA is filed under the name uncultured bacterium. Its description in RNAcentral is "partial 16S ribosomal RNA". It matches the Rfam family "Bacterial small subunit ribosomal RNA", at positions 29 to 507 of the family's 1533-position model. The record is from RNAcentral.
AGUGAACGCUGGCGGUAGGCCUAACACAUGCCAGUCGAACGGCAGCACAGUAAGAGCUUGCUCUUACGGGUGGCGAGUGGCGGACGGGUGAGGAAUACAUCGGAAUCUACUUUUUCGUGGGGGAUAACGUAGGGAAACUUACGCUAAUACCGCAUACGACCUACGGGUGAAAGCAGGGGAUCUUCGGACCUUGCGCGAUUGAAUGAGCCGAUGUCGGAUUAGCUAGUUGGCGGGGUAAAGGCCACCAAAGGCGACGAUCCGUAGCUGGUCUGAGAGGAUGAUCAGCCACACUGGAACUGAGACACGGUCCAGACUCCUACGGGAGGCAGCAGUGGGGAAUAUUGGACAAUGGGCGCAAGCCUGAUCCAGCCCUACCGCGUGGGUGAAGAAGGCCUUCGGGUUGUAAAGCCCUUUUGUUGGGAAAGAAAAGCAGCAGGUUAAUACCCCGCUGUUCUGACGGUACCCAAAGAAUAAGCACCGGCUAACUUCGUG